GUUUCGAAUCAAAUCUGCUCAUGCUUAUGAAUCUUGCUGGUAUAGAAGCCCUGCCAUUCACUACUGUAGGGAUGAUCCCCAUGUGGAGAAACUGACAAAAGCCUUUUUUCUGGAGUGGAGCUGGAAGUUACUCCUAACUAUCUCAGUGUUAAAGCAGCAGGGGAUGAGGAGAAAUUCUUGAAAAUGCUGUCACAUCAAAACCAACUUCUUAUAGAAUGCCACAGUGAAGAGUGGACUUCUCAGGACAACCCACUUACUAUAGAUGCUCAGAUUCUGAAACAAUUUUGAAAUACUUCAAUACUCUAAAUUACAGGCGGGAAUCAUUAUUUUGUUCAAUACCUGCUGACAAGAAGUAAAAGCACUUUUUUUUUUUUUUUUUGAGACACAGUCUCACUCUCCAACUCAGGCAGGAGUGCAGUGGCAUUAUCUCAGCUCAAUGCAACAUCUGCCUCCUGGGUUCAAGCCAUUCUCCUGCCUCAGCCUACUGAUUAGCUGGGAUUACAAGCAUGUGCCACCAUGCCCGGCUAAUUUUUGUAUUUUUAGUGGAGACUGGGUUUCACCAUGUUGGCCAGGCUGGUCUCAAACUCCUGACCUCGGGUGAUCCACCCACUUCCCAAAGUGCUGGGAUUACAGGCGUGAGACACCAUGCCUGGCAAAAGCACAUUUUAAAAAGUGUAUUAAAUACUUAGUCAAGAAAAGGAAACCAAAAUUGAAGAAGUGCUCCCUCCCUGUGUGUCAGUCAUCAUGUAAGGUACUUUGCAUGUGUUCUCACAACCACUCUGAAUGAACAGAUGAGGCAACAGAUAACUCAGAGGUUGAGUGCACAGACCAAGGUCAACUCUGCCUGAAAAGAUCAGGGCCUAUGUGCCAGCUUUCUUUUACCUGAAAGAAAACCCUGUCCUCUUCACUAUAGCAUGCCAUCUCAAUACAUUGAACUUCCAUGUAGCUUCCUCAUGCGGAUGCUUUUGAAUAUUGUAAUCACAGAAUUUUAGUCCUGCACUCUCAACCCAUCAGUAAAUUGUUCAUCACCCAUAAGAAGAAUCAACUUCCUACAAACAUCUCCCAUGUAUUCGUAGCCAUCAAUAUAGAGAUGAUCACUUACAGAGUAAUAUUGUAAAAAGGACAGUGACUACAUUGCUUUAAGUCUGAACUUUUACAGAAAAUUCUGGCACCUUUAUUUUCAGUGUUUCCCCUAAUGAUAAUAAUAAUUGGCACAAAAGAA
Molecule: long non-coding RNA, 1222 nt
Filed under: Homo sapiens (human)
Lineage: Eukaryota; Metazoa; Chordata; Mammalia; Primates; Hominidae
Description: HSALNT0087408
Source: RNAcentral